This 105-nucleotide ribosomal RNA is filed under the name Xanthomonas fragariae. The record is from RNAcentral. Lineage: Bacteria; Pseudomonadati; Pseudomonadota; Gammaproteobacteria; Lysobacterales; Lysobacteraceae.
GGCGAUGACCUACUCUCGCAUGGCUUGAGCCACACUACCAUCGGCGCAGCUGCGUUUCACUUCCGAGUUCGGGAUGGGAUCGGGUGGUUCCACAGCGCUAAUUUC